Molecule: long non-coding RNA, 945 nt
Organism: Amphiprion ocellaris (clown anemonefish)
Lineage: Eukaryota; Metazoa; Chordata; Actinopteri; Pomacentridae
Exons: 5
Source: RefSeq, a predicted model, not a curated record
AAGACAACGCGCUAGCGGAGCUAGUAUACUAUGUGUCUAUGGUCGGCACGUUUGGUAGCAUCUCUGGCUGCUGUUGACCUUGUUUUUGGAGUAAAACACGGUGGAAGCUGAAUUAGUGAGGAAGACUCCUGCUCCUGUCAUCUCUAAGCUCCUCACACAUCUUUACCUGCACAUGAGGAAAAUCACUCCUGUAGAAUGCAGAUGUUCAGAGGGAGAUGAUGCCACAUCUGGUCCAGCUGAUGGAAGGUCUUGAAGUUCUCUGACUGGCCUCGACUGAAGAUGGUCGUCUCACUGGAUUUAAGAGAUGCACAAUGAGGGACGUCUGCAGAGACUGAGAAAGAGUCUCACCACAUCCUGACAUGAGGAAAAAGACUUUAUUGAAGACUACAAUGAGAAAAACUAUCAGACAGCAGACGGCUGCAUUCAAGGUGAGCUCUGAACAUUUGAUCUGGAACAGGAAUUCAAUAACGGCAGCAUGAGCUUCAUUUCAGUCUGUAGCUGCUGAAUUCAUGGAUGAAUCAUCUGGCACUAGAGAAGAAGACCAUCAAACAUCCAUGUCAGCUGAUGGAGGUCCAAGAGUCUCACCCAACAAACAACCUACAGAGUGAAGACCUCAGCUCUGAUUGGACGGCCUCCUAUUCAGCCACAUUUUAGGCUGUUAGAUUGUUCCAGAUAAGACAAGUACAAGAUUCUUCAGAGCCGUUCUACCACGAGCCUGACAGGAAGAACUCCAACAGCUACUGAAUGUUCCUGUGGUUCCCUCAAGGCUACAGGAGGAGCCCUACGAGGACGAGCCGGUCCACCUGAUGGUGGCCAGUCGCUGCGGUUCAAAGCCAACACCGACUACAUGGACUUCUACUGGACCACAUGGAGGCCUUCAAACCGGACCAACAAGUUCACCGACUCCCCGACUCGUGGGUCUGAGGAUGCCGUCGAACCUCGGCC